Molecule: unclassified non-coding RNA, 387 nt
Filed under: soil metagenome
Description: partial contains 5.8S ribosomal RNA, internal transcribed spacer 2, and large subunit ribosomal RNA
Rfam family: 5.8S ribosomal RNA (bases 1-120)
Source: RNAcentral
GAUGAAGAACGCAGCGAAAUGCGAUAAGUAAUGUGAAUUGCAGAAUUCAGUGAAUCAUCGAAUCUUUGAACGCACCUUGCACCCUUUGGUAUUCCGAAGGGUAUGCUCGUUUGAGUGUCAUUGUACUCUCACACUUCUAAUUCCUUUCGGGAUUGGGAGCGGUGGACUUGGGUGUUGCUGCUUUAGUUGUGGCUCACCUCAAAUAAGUUAGUGCAACUCUUGGUUGGAGAUAGUACGGCGUGAUAAGUGUCUUCGCCGGCGCCUCUGUAAGGAGGGUGGCCGAUCGGGAGCUCUGUGCUUCAAACCGUCUUCGGACAAUCUUUGACAACUUGACCUCAAAUCGAGUAGGACUACCCGCUGAACUUAAGCAUAUCAAUAAGCGGAGGA